CCUACGGGAGGCAGCAGUGGGGAAUAUUGCACAAUGGGGGAAACCCUGAUGCAGCAACGCCGCGUGAGCGAUGAAGGCCUUCGGGUCGUAAAGCUCUGUCCUAAGGGAAGAAUUUUGACGGUACCUUAGGAGGAAGCCCCGGCUAACUACGUGCCAGCAGCCGCGGUAAUACGUAGGGGGCUAGCGUUAUCCGGAAUUACUGGGCGUAAAGGGUGCGUAGGUGGCGCUUCAAGUCAGAGGUGAAAGGCUACGGCGCAACCGUAGUAAGCCGUUGAAACUGUAGGGCUUGAGUGGAGGAGAGGAGAGUGGAAUUCCCAGUGGAGCAGUGAAAUGCGUAGAUAUUGGGAGGAACACGAGUUGCGAAGGCGGCUCUCUGGACUAUAACUGACGCUGAUGCACGAAAGCGUGGGGAGCGAACAGGAUUAGAUACCCCAGUAGUC
This 440-nucleotide ribosomal RNA is filed under the name uncultured bacterium. RNAcentral describes it as "bacterial SSU rRNA". It matches the Rfam family "Bacterial small subunit ribosomal RNA", at positions 338 to 795 of the family's 1533-position model. The record is from RNAcentral.